UUUGCUUUGAAACAUAAAGAGUCAUUCUACUCAUCUCAGGCUAACUCUGACAAGACACUGAAUCAGCUAUCUCACUGCUGGGGUCCUCGGUUCCUCGGGUCCGAACCUACACAGGUGGACUCAAAUGAGGGACCAAACAUACAUGAACAUGACUCUAAACUACUCCCCAAAAACCCCCUAAAACACCUUAAAACAAUCAUAGAAAACAUGCAAAGGAAGGCUGAACAGGGCACUUUCGGCGGCAGGUUCGGCGGUCGAAAGUCCCUCCAGAGCCGAAACUCAG
RNAcentral lists this long non-coding RNA (283 nucleotides) under Manihot esculenta (cassava). RNAcentral describes it as "long non-coding RNA (MESC_LNC010859)". Lineage: Eukaryota; Viridiplantae; Streptophyta; Magnoliopsida; Malpighiales; Euphorbiaceae. The record is from RNAcentral.